This 780-nucleotide ribosomal RNA is filed under the name Triticum aestivum (bread wheat). RNAcentral's name for it is "partial small subunit ribosomal RNA". The record is from RNAcentral. Lineage: Eukaryota; Viridiplantae; Streptophyta; Magnoliopsida; Poales; Poaceae.
AUGGCCUGGGUAGUAGUAGGUGAUUUCAACAAAAGUAAGCUGAAUUCGGAAAAAGAGGGAGGGAAUCCCCGUCCCAUGCACAUGCUGAAGGCGUUCAGAGACUGCCUUGACGACUGUGAGCUACAGGAUAUGGACUAUAUUGGGGAUAAAUACACCUGGAGACGCGCUGAUGUUCGUGAGCGACUUGACCGUACUGUGUGUAAUACACAAUGGACAUCAGAUUAUCCCAAUACAACUGUCAUCCACGAGAAGCAUCACAGGUCUGACCAUAGGCCUAUUUUGGUCGACACGAAAUUUUAUAAGACUGGCCAGAUUAGGCGUCGUUCCGGGGGGAGAAAAUUUGAAGCUAGAUGGUUAUCUGAAGAAACUGUAGACGAAGUGGUUGCUACUGCAUGGGCGAAGGCAAAUCUGAGAGGUUUGGGUCCAAGUCUGGCUUCACGAACCCAUGCGGUACACAAUGACCUUCAUAGUUGGGAUAAAUCUAUUCUGAAAGGUCCAAAAAAUCGUAUCAAGAAGUUGAAUAAAGAAUUAGAGAAAAUUAGACAUGGUGCAUUGUCGCCAGCUUCUUGGGCGAGACAGAAGGAAUUACAAUUGCUUAUUGACAAUUUAUUGGAACAUGAGGAGAUUCAUUGGCUUCAAAGUGGGCGUGCUAAUUGGCUGAUGCAUGGAGAGCAGAACACCUCUUUCUUUCAUAAUGCUGCCACUGCACGUGAAAAAAGAAAUCUGAUUAAAAGGCUCCUAGAUGACACGGGGGUCUGGAAGGAGGGUAAUGAACUCUAG